UAGGGAAUCUUCGGCAAUGGGGGCAACCCUGACCGAGCAACGCCGCGUGAGUGAAGAAGGUUUUCGGAUCGUAAAGCUCUGUUGUAAGAGAAGAACGUGUGUGAGAGUGGAAAGUUCACACAGUGACGGUAACUUACCAGAAAGGUACGGCUAACUACGUGCCAGCAGCCGCGGUAAUACGUAGGUCCCGAUCGUUGUCUGGAUUUAUUGGGGGUAAAGCGAGCGCAGGCGGUUUAAUAAGUCUGAAGUUAAAGGCAGUGGCUUAACCAUUGUUCGCUUUGGAAACUGUUAGACUUGAGUGCAGAAGGGGAGAGUGGAAUUCCAUGUGUAGCGGUGAAAUGCGUAGAUAUAUGGAGGAACGCCGGUGGCGAAAGCAGCUCUCUGGUCUGUAACUGACGCUGAGGCUCGAAAGCGUGGGGAGCGAACAGG
RNAcentral lists this ribosomal RNA (429 nucleotides) under bacterium. RNAcentral's name for it is "partial 16S ribosomal RNA". It matches the Rfam family "Bacterial small subunit ribosomal RNA", at positions 355 to 776 of the family's 1533-position model. The record is from RNAcentral.